UGCAAGUCGAACGAACUCUGGUAUUGAUUGGUGCUUGCAUCAUGAUUUACAUUUGAGUGAGUGGCGAACUGGUGAGUAACACGUGGGAAACCUGCCCAGAAGCGGGGGAUAACACCUGGAAACAGAUGCUAAUACCGCAUAACAACUUGGACCGCAUGGUCCGAGUUUGAAAGAUGGCUUCGGCUAUCACUUUUGGAUGGUCCCGCGGCGUAUUAGCUAGAUGGUGGGGUAACGGCUCACCAUGGCAAUGAUACGUAGCCGACCUGAGAGGGUAAUCGGCCACAUUGGGACUGAGACACGGCCCAAACUCCUACGGGAGGCAGCAGUAGGGAAUCUUCCACAAUGGACGAAAGUCUGAUGGAGCAACGCCGCGUGAGUGAAGAAGGGUUUCGGCUCGUAAAACUCUGUUGUUAAAGAAGAACAUAUCUGAGAGUAACUGUUCAGGUAUUGACGGUAUUUAACCAGAAAGCCACGGCUAACUACGUGCCAGCAGCCGCGGUAAUACGUAGGUGGCAAGCGUUGUCCGGAUUUAUUGGGCGUAAAGCGAGCGCAGGCGGUUUUUUAAGUCUGAUGUGAAAGCCUUCGGCUCAACCGAAGAAGUGCAUCGGAAACUGGGAAACUUGAGUGCAGAAGAGGACAGUGGAACUCCAUGUGUAGCGGUGAAAUGCGUAGAUAUAUGGAAGAACACCAGUGGCGAAGGCGGCUGUCUGGUCUGUAACUGACGCUGAGGCUCGAAAGUAUGGGUAGCAAACAGGAUUAGAUACCCUGGUAGUCCAUACCGUAAACGAUGAAUGCUAAGUGUUGGAGGGUUUCCGCCCUUCAGUGCUGCAGCUAACGCAUUAAGCAUUCCGCCUGGGGAGUACGGCCGCAAGGCUGAAACUCAAAGGAAUUGACGGGGGCCCGCACAAGCGGUGGAGCAUGUGGUUUAAUUCGAAGCUACGCGAAGAACCUUACCAGGUCUUGACAUACUAUGCAAAUCUAAGAGAUUAGACGUUCCCUUCGGGGACAUGGAUACAGGUGGUGCAUGGUUGUCGUCAGCUCGUGUCGUGAGAUGUUGGGUUAAGUCCCGCAACGAGCGCAACCCUUAUUAUCAGUUGCCAGCAUUAAGUUGGGCACUCUGGUGAGACUGCCGGUGACAAACCGGAGGAAGGUGGGGAUGACGUCAAAUCAUCAUGCCCCUUAUGACCUGGGCUACACACGUGCUACAAUGGAUGGUACAACGAGUUGCGAACUCGCGAGAGUAAGCUAAUCUCUUAAAGCCAUUCUCAGUUCGGAUUGUAGGCUGCAACUCGCCUACAUGAAGUCGGAAUCGCUAGUAAUCGCGGAUCAGCAUGCCGCGGUGAAUACGUUCCCGGGCCUUGUACACACCGCCCGUCACACCAUGAGAGUUUGUAACACCCAAAGUCGGUGGG
Molecule: ribosomal RNA, 1412 nt
Filed under: Lactiplantibacillus pentosus
Lineage: Bacteria; Bacillati; Bacillota; Bacilli; Lactobacillales; Lactobacillaceae
Also listed under: 1 other name
Description: bacterial SSU rRNA
Rfam family: Bacterial small subunit ribosomal RNA
Source: RNAcentral